RNAcentral lists this ribosomal RNA (1773 nucleotides) under Catostylus mosaicus. Its description in RNAcentral is "large subunit ribosomal RNA". The stretch from base 230 to 1686 matches the Rfam family "Bacterial large subunit ribosomal RNA". The record is from RNAcentral. Lineage: Eukaryota; Metazoa; Cnidaria; Scyphozoa; Rhizostomeae; Catostylidae.
AUUUACUUUUUAUCACUUAAUCAAGAAUAUUUAACCUAACAAUCGUAAGUUAAAGAUUGAUAAUGAAAACAUGUUAACUAAUCCACAGAAAACAUUCAUCCCAAAAAUAAAAAAGAAGUGGUAGUAGCGGCGAGCGAACACACAAAUCACACUCUAAUUUUAGGAUUUAUCAAAAUCUUGUGCUAAAAAAUGUAAAAUUAAUAACGGUAGUACUAUGAAGGAAAGACUAUAUUAUAUCAAUUCUCUGAAUGAACUGUUGUAAUUCAACGUACCUUUUGUAUAAUGGACCUGCAAGAAAAAAUUUGGUUAACCCACGUCCAUAGAAGUAAUUCAGAAUCAACUUCUCCCGAAACUAAGUGGUCAAUUCCAGAAUAGCAGAAAGUGCGAACCGAUAACUGUUUCAAAAGUUUCGGAUAAUUUUGGAAUAGAGGUUAAAUACUAAUCGAACUUAGAAAUAGCUGGUUUUCUACGAAAUCUUUGUAAGAAGAAAUAGUGCAAAUUAGAACUAAAUUAACCACAACAAACUUGGUUCCAUAAUACUCUAUUUACAGACCAUUAAUGACAAGAUUAAUUGUCCACUGAGAAACAGCUCACAACAAAAGCUAAAGACACCAAUAAAAUAAGUGCAACAUAAUAUAAGGUGUAGAUAAGAAAUAAGUGGGCUUGGAAGCAGCCAUCUUAUUGACAACGCGUAAUAGCGGCUUUCAAAAAUAUAUCUAUUAAUAAUAAUGGUGACUAAAUACUCCCUUAAGCUUUGUGUUGGUAGUAGAACAGACUAUAAUAAUAGUGGAGAUAAUGCAGGUAUUAAUAAUAAUAAAUUUAAGGUUUUACUUAUGAAACAGCCCCUUAAUAAUUGAAGGGAUGAACACUAAAACACAUUUAAAAAAUCAGUUAAAUAAAACUGUACUGUCUAACCAAAGAGAAUAACUACAAAAAUUUACUUAUUAAUAAGGAACUCGGCAAAUUUAUUUAACUAAUAAUUUACUAGGAUCGACUGUUUACCAAAAACAUAGCCUUAUUGAACUAAUAUAAGGUGAAGCCUGCUCAAUGGCUACAAAUAAAAAAUAAUAGUAGUUAAAUAGCCGCGGUAACUCUGACCGUGAUAAAGUAGCAUAAUCACUCGUCAUUUAAUUGAUGACUGGAAUGAACGGCUUUACGAAUCCUCAACUGUCUCGUUAAUAAAAUUAAUAAAUUUGAAUUAAUAGUGAAGAUACUAUUUACAAAUUGUAAGACGAAAAGACCCUAUUGAGCUUUACUAGAUACCUAAAUACUAAAAAUUUUACCGCGAACUAACAAUAUUUAGGAUAAAUAGUUUGGUUGGGGCGACCACCUCUAAAAUAGUAUCAGAGGAAAUCUUAAGGUGAUAAACAAUAUUAAUUAGCCUAACUGUCUAUUUACUAAUUAACCAGUUACUAUAUGUAGGAUAUAAUGACCCGUUGAAAGAAUUUUAGACAUCAACGACCAUGAAAAAAGUUACCAUAGGGAUAACAGGGUAAUAUUUCUGAAGAGUUCUCAUCGAUAGAAAUGUUUGCCACCUCGAUGUUGAAUUGUGAUAUCCUAAAGGUGUAGCAGCUUUUAAGGGUUGGUCUGUUCGACCAUUAAAAUCAUACAUGAUUUGAGUUCAUUCCGUCGUAAGACAGGAAGGUUUCUAUCUACAAUUAUGGAUCACUUGUAAACUUUAGUACGAAAGGAAUUAGAUUUACUAUUUUUAAAAUAAUUUCACUUAAUCUGACCUCUUAUAAGAUUAAUAAGCAAAAUCCAACAAUUAUAUAC